RNAcentral lists this ribosomal RNA (460 nucleotides) under uncultured bacterium. RNAcentral describes it as "partial 16S ribosomal RNA". It matches the Rfam family "Bacterial small subunit ribosomal RNA", at positions 338 to 795 of the family's 1533-position model. The record is from RNAcentral.
CCUACGCGUGGCAGCAGUGAGGAAUAUUGGUCAAUGGGCGCGAGCCUGAACCAGCCAAGUAGCGUGAAGGAUGACUGCCCUACGGGUUGUAAACUUCUUUUAUAAAGGAAUAAAGUGAGGCACGUGUGCCUUUUUGUAUGUACUUUAUGAAUAAGGAUCGGCUAACGCCGUGCCAGCAGCCGCGGUAAUACGGAGGAUUCGAGCGUUAUCCGGAUUUAUUGGGGUUAAAGGGUGCGUAGAUGGGUUGUUAAGUCAGUUGUGAAAGUUUGCGGCUCAACCGUAAAAUUGCAAUUGAUACUGGCAGUCGUGAGUACAGUUGAGGUAGGCGGAAUGCGUGGUGUAGCGGUGAAAUGCUUAGAUAUCACGAAGAACUCCGAUUGCGAAGGCAGCUUGCUAAACUGCCACUGACAUUGAUGCUCGAAAGUGUGGGUAUCAAACAGGAUUAGAUACCCCAGUAGUC